This 903-nucleotide long non-coding RNA is filed under the name Setaria viridis. RNAcentral describes it as "long non-coding RNA (SVIR_LNC009232)". Lineage: Eukaryota; Viridiplantae; Streptophyta; Magnoliopsida; Poales; Poaceae. The record is from RNAcentral.
CUAUGCAUAAAAUAGGUAGAUUAAACAGCAAAGUACAAGAAAAGCCGAGAGUAUCGAUUCCUAGCUAGAUAACUGGUGAUAAAACUAGAACAACAGGUAAAACCUAGAAUUCUAGUAAGUAUCGAUAACUGGUGAAUAAAUCUAAACGAAACAACAGCGAUGCGCCCGAAGUUAAAGCUUAGAAAUUACUCGAUAAACAGAACUUACAAGAUCGGCCGGAGGUCAAGUUGAUGCAGCCCCGCCAACCCGUACGAACUCGUGAAAAGAAGAAAAGUAUUGGCGAAGUCGCCUGCUCGAAAGUAAGUACGAGGAAAAAGUAAUUUGUUGUAUUGAGUUGAUUGUAUGAUUACAGAUCCAUAAGGGUGGCUAUUUAUAGCCCCGUACAAACAACUUCCUAUCCGACUAGAACUCUAUCCCUAAGUUUAAACGGAAAACGAAUAUUUACAAGUACGAUUCGUACUAUUUUCACGCGCUUCAUGGGCUGACUCCUUCUUCAUCUUCAUAAUCUUUUUUAAGCCCACAUCGGCCCAACUAUUCUUAACCUCCUAAUCGGCCGAUCACCUCUCUAGCAAGGGGGUAACCGAUCAAGACCCACACGUCGAGAGCUCAGACUUAUCCCGACCCUUGGGACUAAGGUCAGACGAGGCGGAGAUCCUCCUUUAGAGGGUCAGGCGCGUCCGAUCCCAAGCCUCAGGGGUCGGGCGAGGCGGAGAUCCUCCCUUGGAGGGUCGGGCGCGUCCGAUCCCAAGCCUUAGGGGUCGGGCGAGGCGGAAACCCUCCCUUGGAGGAUCGGGCGCGUCCGAUCCCAAACCCCAGGGGUCGGGUGAGGCGGAGAUCCUCCCUUGGAGGGUCGGACGCGUCCGAUCCCAAGCCUUAGGGGUCGGGCGAGGCGGAACUCCAAGG